RNAcentral lists this ribosomal RNA (685 nucleotides) under uncultured soil bacterium. RNAcentral describes it as "bacterial SSU rRNA". It matches the Rfam family "Bacterial small subunit ribosomal RNA", at positions 56 to 734 of the family's 1533-position model. The record is from RNAcentral.
UGCAAGUCGAACGGCAGCACGGGAGCAAUCCUGGUGGCGAGUGGCGAACGGGUGAGUAAUAUAUCGGAACGUGCCCAGUCGUGGGGGAUAACGCAGCGAAAGCUGUGCUAAUACCGCAUACGAUCUCUGGAUGAAAGCGGGGGACUCGCAAGGGCCUCGCGCGAUUGGAGCGGCCGAUAUCAGAUUAGGUAGUUGGUGGGGUAAAGGCCCACCAAGCCGACGAUCUGUAGCUGGUCUGAGAGGACGACCAGCCACACUGGAACUGAGACACGGUCCAGACUUCUACGGGAGGCAGCAGUGGGGAAUUUUGGACAAUGGGCGCAAGCCUGAUCCAGCAAUGCCGCGUGCAGGAUGAAGGCCUUCGGGUUGUAAACUGCUUUUGUACGGAACGAAACGGUCUACCCUAAUACGGUGGGCUAAUGACGGUACCGUAAGAAUAAGCACCGGCUAACUACGUGCCAGCAGCCGCGGUAAUACGUAGGGUGCGAGCGUUAAUCGGAAUUACUGGGCGUAAAGCGUGCGCAGGCGGUUAUAUAAGACAGAUGUGAAAUCCCCGGGCUCAACCUGGGACCUGCAUUUGUGACUGUAUAGCUAGAGUACGGUAGAGGGGGAUGGAAUUCCGCGUGUAGCGGUGAAAUGCGUAGAUAUGCGGAGGAACACCGAUGGCGAAGGCAAUCCCCUGGAC